UGGGGAAUAUUGCACAAUGGGCGCAAGCCUGAUGCAGCCAUGCCGCGUGUGUGAAGAAGGCCUUCGGGUUGUAAAGCACUUUCAGCGAGGAGGAAGGUGGUGAGCUUAAUACGCUCAUCAAUUGACGUUACUCGCAGAAGAAGCACCGGCUAACUCCGUGCCAGCAGCCGCGGUAAUACGGAGGGUGCAAGCGUUAAUCGGAAUUACUGGGCGUAAAGCGCACGCAGGCGGUUUGUUAAGUCAGAUGUGAAAUCCCCGGGCUCAACCUGGGAACUGCAUUUGAAACUGGCAAGCUAGAGUCUCGUAGAGGGGGUAGAAUUCCAGGUGUAGCGGUGAAAUGCGUAGAGAUCUGGAGGAAUACCGGUGGCGAAGGCGGCCCCCUGGACGAAGACUGACGCUCAGGUGCGAAAGCGUGGGGCAGCAAACAGGAUUAGAUACCCUGGUAGUCCACGCUGUAAACGAUGUCGAUUUUGGAGGUUGUGCCCUUGAGGCGUGGCUUCCGGAGCUAACGCGUUAAAUCGACCGCCUGGGGAGUACGGCCGCAAGGUUAAAACUCAAAUGAAUU
This 565-nucleotide ribosomal RNA is filed under the name uncultured bacterium. RNAcentral describes it as "partial 16S ribosomal RNA". It matches the Rfam family "Bacterial small subunit ribosomal RNA", at positions 355 to 911 of the family's 1533-position model. The record is from RNAcentral.